GGUAACGGUGAAAACCAUGGCGCCGCAGCCAAUACGACGGAAUCGGCUAAAAACGGCCAAGUCGGGCCGACGUCGGAAAACGUCCAACGACGCCGAGCGUACAGUCGGGUGGGCGCGCGCUGGUCGGGUAACGGUGAAAACCAUGGCGCCGCAGCCAAUACGACGGAAUCGGCUAAGCCUGGCAGAAAAUCUCUGCCGCGGCAGAGAAAUGGCCAUUUUCUCUGCCGCGGCAACAGUGUAGGGCUCCUUCACAAGCUGACGGGCAGGGGUCCCAGGCGGGGCUAAGUUCCCCAGGUAUAUUGGGGGGGGCUGGCAUCCCUCCCUGUCAAGUUGUGGGUUCGUCCCACAACUUUUCUACGCCCGUCACGUAGCAACUAUACGUUGCCGCGUGGCGUGUCACGCGGCGACGUUUAC
Molecule: non-coding RNA, 414 nt
Organism: Lolium perenne
Lineage: Eukaryota; Viridiplantae; Streptophyta; Magnoliopsida; Poales; Poaceae
Source: RefSeq, a predicted model, not a curated record